This is a long non-coding RNA of Lutra lutra (Eurasian river otter), 358 nucleotides long. RefSeq lists it as uncharacterized. The transcript is spliced from 4 exons. Lineage: Eukaryota; Metazoa; Chordata; Mammalia; Carnivora; Mustelidae. The record is from RefSeq and is a predicted model, not a curated record.
GGGUGGGGGAGCUGGUUGCCAUGAGGGAACAUACUGUGAAUCUGUUCCAGCCUAGGCACAGAAUAUGUAGUCCAGGGACAAGAAGGAGGGUGAACUGUGUUUUCAGAACCCUGAAAACACACCCCAGACAGAGAGUAAAGAAGGACAGGCUGAGGAAAUGCAUCAAGGAGAGCUGGAGGAGCAGUGGAAGCUCAGAGCAUAGAGCCCCAGCAGAUUGCCGUUUGUGCCUCCUGUUGUGGUGAGGGUGGGUCCCCACCAUCAAUGAAGAGCCUAUAAAAGGAAGAUCAAGAGAGUGAGAAGCCGGCAAGUUCUUCACAGACGGAUGUUUGGAGCUGGAAUUCACAUUAUCUUUAUAGAC